GACUUCUGCGGCCGUCGUCGUUGAUGGGCGGCGAGACAUCGGUUACAUUCUAAAGAACUAACGUUAUUUGUGCUUGUUUAUUGACAAUAAUAUAUUUAUAAAGUAAACUGUGACCUCUAUCUGCAUAAUUUAGAAAACCAAUUAUGCGGAAAGAGGUCGCAAAUUACUGCUUUCACAUAUUUCGAACAGUGAUCGUGUGACGCGAGCUAUCUACCCCACAUAUUGGUUGUCGUCCUCGUAACUGGCGCAUGCAGUAGGACAGUUGGAGUCAGUGCUCGCCGCAGUCGGUAUCCAGCUCCGACAGUCCCUGCUCCUAUUCGUAGCCACUGGUUGAGCUGUCAAGCUUUCGAGUGUCCUGACUUUGGGAGACGAAGCCAGAGAUCCAAGCGUAGAUACAACCCGAGAACAAACGAGAUGCUGCUCAUAAUGGAACCUCAGCACCGAGCUGGAAUCAGAUGACAUUAUGAACUACUCAAACGCCGUACUCUCCGAGGAUAUAGCACGGAGUAUGACGGAGACGAAGCAGGCGGAGGAUGCCGAACGCGUCAUGGACACGCUGUUCAUAGACAACUGCGAUCACAAACAACUCAAAGGUACUCAGACUAGAGCCUGUUUCGAUAGACCUUAAAGAAAAAGUAACCGAGAAUUGUUGAAAUUAUCUCGGGGACACAGUGUAAAUGGAAUUAGUAAAUAAAUAGUGAAUAAUCCAAACAUUUGAAACAGUGCAUGCAUGAAAUAGAAACAGCCAAGACAAAUCUGUGUGCAAAACCGAAUUAGUUAAGAAAGAAAACGAGUGGGUCGUCCAGAAAAAGAAGAUUGAUAUAAACGAAUUCAUGCUGCCCAAUUUCAGCGAAGAAGAGAUUAAAAGACUUAACAUAGAAGGUGACAAUCACUGUGAGAGAUUACGAACCAUGUACCAUUUCGCUAGAAAGAACGAUAUAAAGAUGCUAUUCCCGUGUGAUCGGUGCGAGAAAAUAUGCAGGACACUGAGCUGUCGCUGAAGUUGCACAACGGGAAACACGAGAACCCCAAGCCGUUCAAGCGUAAAGUGUGGAAACGCAGGAUUAUUGGAGGGCGGUGCGAAGUCUGCAAAAGCUCAUUUGAGCGAGACACCGGUCGGAACCGAUAAACGUUCUGCAUAAUUGAUACAUCGAAAUAGUUUUUAAUGCAAUAUUCACGUGACUAGCAAUUGUUUUUAUAUAUUUCGAUCGUGUUACUGAAUAUUUAGUGAAAUUUAUUUCGAGUAUGUUGUAGCGAAGUCGUAUCUAACCAUUGAUUAUUGUCGCUGAUCUAAUAUACGGAUUUAACUAUUUUAUUGAAUAUAUAGUAUAAUUAUUUAUUUUAUUUUAAACAUGCAGUGGCAAAAUCGUGUCUAACGUUAGACUAGGUGUCCAUGUGACUACUGCUGGUCUUCAACGAAAUAUCCAUGGACGAGAUCGUUUAACCACCAAUAUUUCUCACCAGAGGUAGACUUUGUACAAGUCGUCUGCAUGGAUACCUCUGUCCCAUCCGUGUUCUCGCCGUGAAGCAGCUGCGCUCGCAUGGCUGUCUUUCGGCUCGAAGGAUGGGGUAUGGCAGCGAGAUCACAGGACACGGAGGCAUAGCCAUAGUCCUCGAGGGGGGAAGGGAUUGCUAGUAAUGCGGACUGUCGGCACCAUUGCUAGCAAUACACCCGAACAGGUCGACCUCCACGCGGUUCCCCCUGGAAACCAUCGUGAUCAAUCAUUGUUCAAUUGGUCACGAUGGGCCAACUGGCCUGUGUCCAUGGUGUCCCGCCGGCGUACACCGCUAGCGGAGGCGAGGCUGCCAUGGACACCACCACGCCAUUAAUUCGUGGUGGAUUAAAAUAAAAUUAAUCUGAUAGGAGUGGUUUAAGUAUAUCAUUUUAAUAUAGUUUUCUUUUUUCUUUCAUUUUAUUUCGUUUUUAGCGUAAGGCAUUAGUAAGUUUCCCACUUGCCCGCUGGGGCUGGUGGGCCGGUGGGCUGGUUUCCUAUGCAGAGGAUCCAGGUAGAUGAUAUGUCGAGUAAGAUUAUCCAUUUUAAUUAUUUUACUUCUUUUUUUCUCUAGCGUAAGGUAUCGAAAACAUAUAUAUAUAACUAAUGUAAGUAGUUUAAGCAUUCCAUUUAGUAUAGUUUUGUUUUUUUUCUUUUAUAUGUCUUUAACGUAAGGUAUUAAAAAUAUAAGAUGUCUUAUUUUAAGAUUGUGGGUACGAUAAUUGUUUUUAUAUUGUGUAGCCUCCGACUUGUCACCGGAGGUUGCUGAAAUAUAGUAAAAAAAAAUACAUAUAUAUAUAUAUAUAUAUAUAUAUGUAUAUAUAUAUAUAUAUUACAAAUAAAAUAAAUAUAAUAAUAUAUAUAUAAUAUAAAUGUCUGGAAAACAUAAUUGUGAUAUAUUGUGCGUUUUUUUUUUUUAAAUAAUAGCAUUUAUACAACUUUUCUAAUUCUUGUUAGAUUAAACAUUUGUUAGUUUAAGCUUUUGUUAGUUUAAGCGUUUGUUAGUUUAAGCGUUUGUUAGUUUAAGCUUUUGUUAGUUUAAGCGUUUGUUAGUUUAAGCGUUUGUUAGUUUAAGCUUUUGUUAGUUUAAGCGUUUGUUAGUUUAAGCUUUUGUUAGUUUAAGCGUUUGUUAGUUUAAGCAUUUUUUUAGUUUAAGCCAAUGUUUGUUAGAUCUUCGUUAUUCUAUGUAAUAAUGCAGCUUACUGGAUAACGGAAGUCUAUUAAUUUUAAGUAACUUUCAUUAGUAAUCCCUGUUCUUUCAUUUCUCUAAAUAAAUAGUUUUCAUUUAUA
Long non-coding RNA from Galleria mellonella (greater wax moth), 2783 nucleotides. RefSeq lists it as uncharacterized. The record is from RefSeq and is a predicted model, not a curated record. Lineage: Eukaryota; Metazoa; Arthropoda; Insecta; Lepidoptera; Pyralidae. The transcript is spliced from 3 exons.